Molecule: ribosomal RNA, 293 nt
Filed under: uncultured bacterium
Lineage: Bacteria
Description: partial 16S ribosomal RNA
Rfam family: Bacterial small subunit ribosomal RNA
Source: RNAcentral
GUGCCAGCCGCCGCGGUAAGACGAACCGUGCGAACGUUAUUCGGAAUCACUGGGCUUAAAGCGCGUGUAGGCGGAGCGGCACGUCGGUCGCUGAAAGCCCCCGGCUCAACCGGGGAACGGGCGCCGAUACGACCGCUCUCGAGGGACGUAGGGGGACCUGGAACUUCCGGUGGAGCGGUGAAAUGCGUUGAGAUCGGAAGGAACGCCCGUGGCGAAAGCGAGGUCCUGGACGUUUUCUGACGCUGAGACGCGAAAGCCAGGGGAGCGAACGGGAUUAGAAACCCGUGUAGUCC